AGUGUGCUUCAGAAUAUUCUGCAAUUCACUGAUGAGCCUGGGCACUCAAGUGAAAGUCAUCUGAUGAACCUCUGACAUUUGAUGAUCAUUAUGUCAAAAGUCUUUUAGGUAACUGAGGAGAGUGCUCCUGACCAUUUUGCAAGGCUAGUGGAAGAACAGACCCAAGAGGUUUCAGAGUUACAAAAAUAUAUGAAAGAGAGAAAAAAAAAUUUCAACAGCCUACUUCAAGGAAACAAAAAGGUGGGCUGCAGAGG
This is a long non-coding RNA of Vidua chalybeata, 254 nucleotides long. RefSeq lists it as uncharacterized. The transcript is spliced from 4 exons. The record is from RefSeq and is a predicted model, not a curated record. NCBI's taxonomy places the organism in Eukaryota, Metazoa, Chordata, Aves, Passeriformes, Viduidae.